CCUACGGGCGGCAGCAGUGGGGAAUAUUGGACAAUGGGGGGAACCCUGAUCCAGCCAUGCCGCGUGUGUGAAGAGGGCCCUCGGGUUGUAAAGCACUUUCAGUGAGGAAGAACGCCUGGUGGUUAAUACCCAUCAGGAAAGACAUCACUCACAGAAGAAGCACCGGCUAACUCCGUGCCAGCAGCCGCGGUAAUACGGAGGGUGCGAGCGUUAAUCGGAAUUACUGGGCGUAAAGCGCGCGUAGGUGGCUUGAUAAGCCGGUUGUGAAAGCCCCGGGCUCAACCUGGGAACGGCAUCCGGAACUGUCAAGCUAGAGUGCAGAAGAGGAAGGUAGAAUUCCCGGUGUAGCGGUGAAAUGCGUAGAGAUCGGGAGGAAUACCAGUGGCGAAGGCGGCCUUCUGGACUGACACUGACACUGAGGUGCGAAAGCGUGGGUAGCAAACAGGAUUAGAUACCCCUGUAGUC
Molecule: ribosomal RNA, 465 nt
Filed under: Vreelandella stevensii
Lineage: Bacteria; Pseudomonadati; Pseudomonadota; Gammaproteobacteria; Oceanospirillales; Halomonadaceae
Description: partial 16S ribosomal RNA
Rfam family: Bacterial small subunit ribosomal RNA
Source: RNAcentral